GACGAACGCUGGCGGCGUGCCUAAUACAUGCAAGUAGAACGCACAGUUUAUACCGUAGCUUGCUACACCAUAGACUGUGAGUUGCGAACGGGUGAGUAACGCGUAGGUAACCUGCCUGGUAGCGGGGGAUAACUAUUGGAAACGAUAGCUAAUACCGCAUAAUAUUGAUUAUUGCAUGAUAAUUAAUUGAAAGGUGCAAUUGCACCACUACCAGAUGGACCUGCGUUGUAUUAGCUAGUAGGUGAGGUAACGGCUCACCUAGGCGACGAUACAUAGCCGACCUGGGAGGGUGAUCGGCCACACUGGGACUGAGACACGGCCCAGACUCCUACGGGAGGCAGCAGUAGGGAAUCUUCGGCAAUGGACGAAGGUCUGACCGAGCAACGCCGCGUGAGUGAAGAAGGUUUUCGGAUCGUAAAGCUCUGUUGUAAGAGAAGAACGGGUGUGAGAGUGGAAAGUUCACACUGUGACGGUAUCUUACCAGAAAGGGACGGCUAACUACGUG
Molecule: ribosomal RNA, 505 nt
Filed under: uncultured bacterium
Lineage: Bacteria
Description: partial 16S ribosomal RNA
Rfam family: Bacterial small subunit ribosomal RNA
Source: RNAcentral